Cornus florida is the source of this 2888-nucleotide long non-coding RNA. RefSeq lists it as uncharacterized. The transcript has 3 exons. Lineage: Eukaryota; Viridiplantae; Streptophyta; Magnoliopsida; Cornales; Cornaceae. The record is from RefSeq and is a predicted model, not a curated record.
CAACGCCGAAGAGAGUCCGGUACAUUUACAUAGAGUUGGAGCUAUGCCUCCAAUCUCUCAAACUGGCUCCGGUGGUGGGCGUAUGAAGCUAGAAGGAAGAUCCCAAUCCAGUUGCAUGCAUCUGGCGACAAUAGAAUCUCUCACACGCCUGUCCAGAUUCGAUUAACUGUAGUGGAGAGCAGGAGUUUGUUAACUGAGUUGGGUCGUUGUCUUCCUCGCCAACGAUUUGAGGCUCGAGCAAUUAGAUCACGCCAUGAGGAUGGGGCAAAAUUGAAUCGACUGAAAGCAGCCCAAAUCGGCCGAAUGACUGAACAGUCAAGGAAGAGGUGGUCAUGCGAUUCAUCCACUGAUUGACAAAACAGAUACAGCUUUGGGCCUGGUGCCGAUUGCAUACUACUGCGAUCAAGUGUAGAAAGACGCUUCUGCACAGCUAGCUAGAGUGUGAACUUACAUCUCGGUACCGACAAUGAAUUCCAUACAAGAUGCUGCCAUGGGCCUGGUUGGUGGUGUGGGGCAAGCCAGUGAAUUGUGUGGCUGACUGAGAAGGUCCCAGUUGGAGAUGGGAUCCAACUAUAAGAAUCCGGCUCGCUGCUAGGGGCAUCAAUAUGGUUGAGCUCUGGAACUAGUAUUGUUAACGCAUUUGGGAAGGUCCACUCAUUGUUCUGCACGAAUGAAGAAAGCUUCUGGCCAAGAGGGAUUCCUGAGUUGCGGAUCACAUCUGAGCAGAAACGUAGAGUGGGAGGCCCUCUGUCCUCCCAUAAAAAGGUAUGAUCACCUCUCCCCACGCGUCUCUUGCUCAUUGUCCUAGCCACUCCCUUUAACUGUAGAAUCCUCGUCCAAUUUGCGGAGCAUGCCUUCAGAAUCCUCUUACUUGAACCGGAUCUGUUCUAUAGACUCGUACCUCUGCAGCCUUGAUUACUCACAAGUUGUUAUAAGUUGGUCUAUAGUCAAUUUUCUUAAUGAAUUUAUAAGUCCAAAAUUGACAGUGAGAGUGACGGCGACGUGGAAGCCACUAUAAGCACCAUGUCCAAAUUUUAUUAAAAAAAAAGAUUUGUGAACAUUAAUAUUAAUCUAAAAGGAUCUAAGCAUGUAAAAAUAGGUCAUCUUCUCUUUAUGGGAAAAAUCUAUUUUAUCUCUCAACAAAGGAAAAACAAAUUGUAAAAUGAUACUUAAAAGAACCAUAUAUAUAUAUAUGUAUAUAUGACCGGAAAUAUGAAUAACUCAUUCACAUUACGAGUUGAUUGAUGGAUCUAAGAAUGAUUCAAGGCCAUUUUGAUAAAUAAAUAAAGAUAUUAUAGAGAUUUUAAGUUAAAAAAUGUUGAUUUUUUGCCGCAACAAUUUUUAAACAGUAGAGGUAGGGAUGUAAUUGUAUAUUUUUGGAAUAGUAUGAGAGAGUUUUCAGUUUUGUACAAAACUAAAAGUACAAAGAGAUUUUCUAUGAAAUUGUAAAGUGGUUGUUUGUUUUUAUUUAUUUAUUUAUUUAUUUUUUAAAUAACACCAAUCUCAUUUGAGAUUUUGUCAAGAGUUAUGGGGUGGAUGACGAGCCUGGUAUAAUUAUGUUUCUUUCUUAUAUAUAUUAGUAUAAUUUAUUACAAUAAAUAUAUCUUUUAAUACUAGAAUUGAAAUUUAAAAGUUAUAAAAUUGUUGGCAAUGGUAUUUUUAUAUUUAUUUUUACUUUUUUAUUUAAAUUUAUUUUUUGGUCGUUGACAAUUAACAGAUAUGUGUUAUUCACUCGUAAAUUUCGGUAAGUAAAUUUGACCAAAAAGGAAAGAAGGUCGGAAAUCUCUCGUGUAAUUUUUUUUUUGUUUCUUAUUAUUAUUAUUUUUUGGACCCAAAAAAAAAUAAAAAAGAAACAUUACACACCGGUUUACUGUGAGAGGAGCUUUGCUUUCUUCUUCGCGAGCCUUCAGUGCCGGUUCUUUCGUCCGUCCACGAGGCUGCAAAAAGAGAGAAAGGGCGGCGAUCUGAUUCCGAUCCGGGACUCCGGCAAGACGCUUCACGUCCGGCCAUUCUACUUCUGCAGCCCUUCACCACUACAUCUCCAUUACAUACCUUUGCCACCUCCCCUGAACGACAAGGAGCCACAGAGAGAGAGAAAGGAUCAAACUCUUUUGCGUCCUGAACCAGAGCAGCUUAUGAACAAAGCAAACAUGGAAGAGGGACUACUAAACAGUUCUUUGAUUCUUGAAGAAAAGCCUGAAGUUAGCGGCAUUAAUGGUGGUGGUGGCAGCAAAGAAGUGAGUGGUUCCUCCGCCAUCACAGCGGUGGUUGUCUUCAGCAUCUUUGUGACUGCCUCCGGUUCCUUCGCAUAUGGUUGUUCUGUGAGUGGUAUUUAAUUAAGCAUUAGUGAGUUUGUAUACUUUCUUAAUUUGAUGCAUAUAGGGAUAUUCUUGUGGUUUGAACAUAGGAAGCACGGACACGGAUAUGACAUGAUACAGCCGCAAAUCUCAAAAAAUAUAGGACAUAAUUACAACGCUGAUACGUAUAUAUUAUUAUAUAUGUAAAUAAUAAAUUUUAGUCAUUUUAUCUAUGAAAUCGUGAAUGAAAUCACUAAUUUGGAUUUUAGGCUCAGUUUGGUAGGGUGGAAAUGGGAGGAAAGGGAAGUUGAUGGAGGGUGAUUAAAAAGUUGUGUUUGGGUGAAAUGUGUGGAAGGAAAGGGAAGGAGAGGGAAGGCUAAGGAGGGUUAAGUAUAGCUUUGCACAGUAAUUUAAUUAUCCUCCCAAAAAUGGGAGGAAAUGGAAGGAAAGGGAAGGCAAUGGCACAUGUGAUACAUGUGAUGCCAAUUUUAUCUACACAAAAUCAAGGAUUUAGUUAGCAAAACAAGAAUUACAGACCUUGAUUGGUUGAUUUAGCAAAACAAAACCCAUACAUAUAAGUUAGCCAUUGCA